ACGCUCGACACCUACGGGGGCAGCAGUGGGGAAUAUUGCACAAUGGGGGAAACCCUGAUGCAGCGACGCCGCGUGGAGGAAGAAGGUCUUCGGAUUGUAAACUCCUGUUGUUGGGAAAAAAGAGGAUGGUACCCAACAAGGAAGUGACGGCUAACUACGUGCCAGCAGCCGCGGUAAUCUGAGCGGGCUGGCAAGGC
RNAcentral lists this ribosomal RNA (197 nucleotides) under uncultured bacterium. RNAcentral's name for it is "partial 16S ribosomal RNA". It matches the Rfam family "Bacterial small subunit ribosomal RNA", at positions 328 to 539 of the family's 1533-position model. The record is from RNAcentral.